This 272-nucleotide ribosomal RNA is filed under the name Acinetobacter radioresistens. RNAcentral's name for it is "partial 16S ribosomal RNA". It matches the Rfam family "Bacterial small subunit ribosomal RNA", at positions 1 to 276 of the family's 1533-position model. Lineage: Bacteria; Pseudomonadati; Pseudomonadota; Gammaproteobacteria; Moraxellales; Moraxellaceae. The record is from RNAcentral.
AACUGAAGAGUUUGAUCAUGGCUCAGAUUGAACGCUGGCGGCAGGCUUAACACAUGCAAGUCGAGCGGAUGAAGGUAGCUUGCUACUGGAUUCAGCGGCGGACGGGUGAGUAAUGCUUAGGAAUCUGCCUAUUAGUGGGGGACAACGUUCCGAAAGGAGCGCUAAUACCGCAUACGUCCUACGGGAGAAAGCAGGGGACCUUUGGGCCUUGCGCUAAUAGAUGAGCCUAAGUCGGAUUAGCUAGUUGGUAGGGUAAAGGCCUACCAAGGCGA